Long non-coding RNA from Anthonomus grandis grandis, 506 nucleotides. RefSeq lists it as uncharacterized. The transcript is spliced from 3 exons. Lineage: Eukaryota; Metazoa; Arthropoda; Insecta; Coleoptera; Curculionidae. The record is from RefSeq and is a predicted model, not a curated record.
CAAAAAUCGGUCAUUAUGUUAAAUAAAUUUCCAUGUCACACUCAAUCUGUGGAGAGAUGUGUUAAAAUUAUCACUGAAGCAUCAGGGAAAAUUUGCGAGGAUGACAAAAGAGAUGGCUACAAUCGAGUAAAAUUUGAAGAUUAUUAAAGAACCAAAGGACACGGUGAUGUAGAGGAGAGGGAGACGGGGGUGGAACUCGAUUAAGCAGCCACCUCCUCGUGCGACAAAAUUAGCGUGCCGACCGACCGACGGACACGAUUUCCUCCCGCGUGCGACACGCAACAGGGCGUGCAGAGGAUACUAUGCCAUACGUGGGGCCCAUCACCAUACCGGGCUGCUUAUUGCUAUUUGGAACUUUUCUACCAGUUCGGGUCCAGUCUUUUAGUGUGUUUUACCCAAAACGCGAGAUAUUUUGUCAUUGAUAACGCCUGCUGACAUACCGAAUCCGCCAUAACAAAGACGUUGUUCAUGUUCUUUAUGUUGACUGCUUCUAGUGUAAACUGACU